Molecule: ribosomal RNA, 663 nt
Filed under: uncultured bacterium
Lineage: Bacteria
Description: bacterial SSU rRNA
Rfam family: Bacterial small subunit ribosomal RNA
Source: RNAcentral
GUAGUCCACGCCGUAAACGAUGGAUACUAGCUGUUGGGGGUAUCGACCCCCCCAGUAGCGAAGCUAACGCGUUAAGUAUCCCGCCUGUGGAGUACGGUCGCAAGACUAAAACAUAAAGGAAUUGACGGGGACCCGCACAAGCGGUGGAUUGUGUUCUUUAAUUCGAGGAUAAACGAUAAACCUUACCAGGGUUUGACAUCCCAAGAAUUUUGCCGAAAGGCGAGAGUGCUUUAUUGAACUUGGUGACAGCUGUUGCAUGGCCGUCGUCAGCUCGUGUCGUGAGAUGUUUGGUUAAGUCCAUUAACGAGCGCAACCCUUGUGAUUAGUUGUAUUUUUCUAAUCAGACUGCCCCGGCAACGGGGAGGAAGGAGGGGAUGAUGUCAGGUCAGUAUUACGCUUACAUCCUGGGCUAGAAACGCAAUACAAUGGCCGGUACAAUACGCAGCGAAGCCGCGAGGUGAAGCAAAUCGUAUCAAAACCGGUCCCAGUUCGGAUAAGAGGCUGAAACUCGCCUCUUUGAAGUCGGAAUCGCUAGUAAUCGCAGAUCAGCAAGCUGCGGUGAAUACGUUCCCGGGUCUUGUACACACCGCCCGUCAAACCAUGAAAGUGACCAACACCCGAAGUCCGAUUCGUCGGCCUAAGGUGGGGGGCAUGAUUGGGGUU